ACUCCAUGGUAAGGACAAGACCUAGUGUAACCCUUCAAUCUUUCCCAAGUUUCAUAGAGAGCUUCUUGCUUGAAGCUCGUGAUAUCGUUUCUAAUUCU
Arabis alpina (gray rockcress) is the source of this 98-nucleotide non-coding RNA. The record is from Rfam. NCBI's taxonomy places the organism in Eukaryota, Viridiplantae, Streptophyta, Magnoliopsida, Brassicales, Brassicaceae.